GACGAACGCUAGCGGCGUGCCUAAGAAAUGCAAGUCGAGCGAGGCUGAGGCUUCGGCCGAAGGCCUAGCGGCGAACGGUCGCGUAACACGUAAGCAACCUGCCCCAGAGUGGGGGAUAGCCCGCCGAAAGGCGGAUUAACACCGCAUGUGGACAGUCUUUCGCAUGUAGGAUUGUCUAAAACAGCAAUGUGCUCUGGGGAUGGGGCUUGCGGCCUAUCAGCUAGUUGGUGUGGGUAACGGCCCACCAAGGCGACGACGGGUAGCUGGUCUGAGAGGAUGGUCAGCCGGACUGGGACUGAGACACGGCCCAGACUCCUACGGGGGGCAGCAAUUAGGAAUCUUGCGCAAUGGGCGAAAGCCUGACGCAGCGACGCCGCGUGACUGAUGAAGUCUUUCGGGAUGUAAAGGUCUUUUGCAGGGGAAGAAGGAUGUGACGGUACCCUGCGAAUAAGCCCCGGUAACUACGUGCCAGCAGCCGACGGUAAAAUAGCGUACUCUA
Molecule: ribosomal RNA, 499 nt
Filed under: uncultured bacterium
Lineage: Bacteria
Description: bacterial SSU rRNA
Rfam family: Bacterial small subunit ribosomal RNA
Source: RNAcentral